ACAGAAAGUAAACGCGGAUCAAACCGCGAACUUCUAAACCUUUGACGAUUGACUCAUGUUGCCUCGGCGGGUUCUUCCGCCAGAGGAUACAUCAAAACUCCUGUUUUAACGGUGUUGUCUGAGCUAAAAGCAACGAAUCAAAACUUUCAACAACGGAUCUCUUGGUUCUGGCAUCGAUGAAGAACGCAGCGAAAUGCGAUAAGUAGUGUGAAUUGCAGAAUUCAGUGAAUCAUCGAAUCUUUGAACGCACAUUGCGCCCCUUGGUAUCCCGAGGGGCAUGCCUGUUCGAGCGUCAUUUCACCACUCAAGCCUGGCUUGGUGUUGGGCGACGUCCCCUUUGGGGACGCGCCUCGAAACGCUCGGCGGCGUGGCACCGGCUUUAAGCGUAGCAGAAUCUUUCGCUUCAAAAGUCGGGGCCCCGUCUGCCGGAAGACCUACUCGCAAGGUUGACCUCGGAUCAGGCAGGGAUACCCGCUGAACUUAAGCAUAUCAAU
RNAcentral lists this ribosomal RNA (494 nucleotides) under uncultured fungus. Its description in RNAcentral is "eukaryotic LSU rRNA". The stretch from base 142 to 295 matches the Rfam family "5.8S ribosomal RNA". The record is from RNAcentral. Lineage: Eukaryota; Fungi.